CUUUUAGAAGAUGUAUCACAUAUUCACAUUUGUAUAGAAGAGUACUAGUGGCAACAAGAUGGGAAAAGUUUGCAGUUUCAUAAAUUGCGGAAAAUAUUUUCUGAUAUAAUUUGUAGUACCCGACUACCCUGUCUACCCACACCAUGUGCUCAUAUAUAGGCUGAAAACCACGUUUUUUCGGAGAACCGAAAGGUCUCCAAUAUAAUUGGACAACAUGCCAUAAGAUAUCAAUGUAUGUGACUAAAGUACCAACAGAGUGAAUGUUUGGAAGAAUUAUCAUUGAUGAUUGGAGAUGGUUUAUGUUGCCAAAGACAUUCUUGGAUAGAUAAUGAAUGUAUCCUGAAAAUAUAGAACAAUUACUAAUCAAGAAGUUCCCAAGAAAUAUUGUUUUUGUCUUUUGAAUUGCAAACCAGCCUUGGACUGAAGAAGAUUCUGGGAAAUUAGUUCUUGUGUGUAUUUAUAUAAUGUGAUACCAAUUGUAAAACAAAUUAAAACUUGUUUCUGU
Molecule: long non-coding RNA, 505 nt
Organism: Dendronephthya gigantea
Lineage: Eukaryota; Metazoa; Cnidaria; Anthozoa; Malacalcyonacea; Nephtheidae
Exons: 7
Source: RefSeq, a predicted model, not a curated record